UUUUUUUUUUUUUUUUUUUUUUAGAUUUUUAUUUAUUUAUUCACGAGAGACACACAGAGAGAAAGAGAGGCAGAGACACAGGCAGAGGGAGAAGCAGGCUCCAUGCAGGAAGCCUGACGUGGGACUUGAUCCCCGGUCUCCAGGAUCACACCCUAGGCUGAAGGCAGCACCAAACUGCUGAGCCACCGGGGCUGCCCUCAUCUUCCCUUUCUGAGGCUUAGUUUACUCAUCUGUUAAAUGGGAUCAGUAACAACCUUCCUUGUAAGGUCAUGAUGAGACUCCCAGAAUAGUCCUGGGAAGAGUUCAGCAUGGUCCCCAGCAUAGGAUAUCGUUUUUGUUUGUUUGUUUGUUUGUUUGUUUGUUUGUUUAUGAGAGCUCUCAGCCCAAUGUAAGGCUCAAACUCAGGACCUCAAGACCAAGAGUCACAGGCUCUACUGACUGAGCCAGCCAGGCGCACCAAAGUAAUUCUUAUUCGUAGCUACUGUAUCAACUAUUUUGUUCUUUUUUUUUUAAAAGAUUUUAUUUAUAUAUUCAUGAGAGACACAGAGAGAGAGGCAGAGAUAUAGGCAGAGGGAGAAGCAGUCUCUCUGAGGGGAGCCUGAUGCGGGACUCGAUCCCAGAACCUCAGGAUCACACUCUGAGCCAAAGGCAGAUGCUCAACCACUGAGCCACCCAGAUGCCCCCAACUUUUUUGUUCUAAUUCAGUUCUUGUUUUAGACUCUGGGUUGAGAAGGCAAGAGAGGAGAUACAGAUUGAACUUUAACAGAUGUUGGUCUACUCCAAUCUGGCCUCAGAUCCUGUACCACAUCACUCAGAAUUACCUUCAUCUUUGCAUGACCUCAGUUAUCAGGGGGAAAGGGGAGCAUCCAUGCACAAGAGAAAACAUGAAUCCAGGACCGGUUGGAGAACACAGUAAAAUAUUCUCUGCAAAUUGCAGCAAGUGCUUCUGCAGAAGACAGGCUCAGAUGGUCCCACUUCUGACUCAGGUGCUGGCAAGGGGCAGCAGGACCAAUCCUAGGCUGAGGCCCACCAUUCCCUGCCUGCCUUCACCCACUGGGUGGGCACAGCUGGAGGGCAGGGGACUUGCUGGGAGGGGGUGCUGUUGUGAUUUGUAAUAAAUACUUGUAAUAAAUAUAUUUUCCUCUUAGACCCUAUUCCAGACAUAGAGCUCAUAGAGCUCUAAACCCAUGGAAUUUCCCGAGAUAAGAGUGAUAAAGGUGUCUUUGUUAUGUUAAUAAGAUAUCUACUGGAAAAAAAAAAAAAGAGGUCUACUGGAAAGCCAUUAGGUAACCCAACCAAAGGGGCUGGUUGCCAGGAGAACCAACCAGGUGAUCAGAGAGUUGGAGCUCUCAGUGUCUCUGCUCUCCCUCCAGGGAGGGGAGAGGGGCUGGAGUUUGAAUCAAUCGCUGAUGGCCAACAAUUUAAUCAAUCAUGGCUAUGUAAUGAAGCUUUCACAAAGUUCCCAAGAGGACCGGGUUCAGAGGGUUUCCCAGGGGGUCGAAAUGGGUUGAUUGGUACACCUGGAGAGAGCAUGGAGGCUCCCAGCCCUGCCUCCACACCUGGAGCGUGUGCUUGUGUGUGUGUGUGUGUGUGUGUGUGUGUGUGUAAGGGGGAAUCUUGUGGAACAUCCUGGUGUUGUCUGAGAAUUGCUUGGUGUUGUGUAGGAAGCACCUUGCCACGCACCCCCCCCUCCCCCGCCAAUACACCAGAGUUGGGUCCAGGAACCCAAAAAACCAAGUCUACGGUGGAAAGGGUGGCAUCGAAAGCUGGCCAUGCAGGCCUUAUCAGAAACUUUCCUGAGGCUCCCCACAGGAAACCUGCUUCUCCCUCUGCCUGUGUCUCUGCCUCUCUCUCUCUCUCUCUCUCUCUGUGUGUGUGUCUCUCAUGAAUAAAUAAGUAAAAUCUUAAAAAAAAAAAAAACACUUUCCUGAGGUCCAGUCCACGUGGACAAACUUUCUUGCUCAUGUGAAAGCACUGUGAGAGCCACCAUCCAGCCUGAGGAACUGUGUCAAGCUGUGAACUGGCUUUCAAGUCUAGUCACCUCUGCAGAGUUCACUGAGGUGACACCUGCUGCCAUGGGGUCAAAGUUCAAAUGUCACUUUGAAGUGGUUGACAUUCAGUAAUUGUAGAAGGAGGUAGGAAGAUGAGAUACUCAGGGCCCUGAAGCUCCCCUCCGCUCCCCGGGGGUAGCAAUACCUAGUCGCCAUUCCAAAUUCCCGGGAAGGCCUCUCUCCACCUUAAGCUAAUCUCCCACCCAGGCGCAUUGCAUCCUCCUUGCUGGUUCCAUCUGACCAGGAGUGACUGGGGCUGAGUCCCUGGCCCUUCAGCUCACCAGCUGCAUGUCCCGCCUUAGGGCAGAUAAGUGCCCUGCCCGCUUUCUCAUCUGUUAAAUGGGAAAUGUCCUAGGGUUGGCAUGUUUCCGCUGGUGACAGGCCUGGCAUGGAGUCAGCCUACUUCUUUUCCCUCUCCAGAUCGCCGGCCUGGCCUGACCCUGGCCUGCUUCCCACACCCCACCCACCCUGGUCCCCUGCGUCCUCCUCUGCCGGCUGGACCCUGCCCCUCCUCUUGGCCUCCCGCCCUGCCUGUGACCUGGCACCAGUACCAAUGUUGCAGAUUGCUGAGAUCAGGAACAGGUCGCUCUUGUCACUCAUUCCAGGAGAGUCCUAUGUCCUGAUGAUCAGCUGCAUGGGAAGAAGGGUGUGGCGUCACCAGACUUCAGAGUCUAUCCCAGGGCAGGGGGCGGAGAGGGGGUGUCCCUCUGCACAUUUGCCCAGGGGACACAUCUCCCAACACCCCGACUGAGAGGCCUAGAGCUGCUUUCUGGAGGGUCUGCAGUCAGAGUGGCCAAGAUCUUGAGAGGAGGGCAGUGGGGUCAUCCUUUUAUUUGUGGGAAAGCAGAAGGAGCUUAGGCUGUGCUGCCAAAAUUAAAAGCCCAUGAAUUUUCUAUCAGGCACCAGCCACUCCAGAUGCACAGACAUACCCCAAAGAUUUGUAGAGAGGAAAUGUUUACAAAGCCUUGUGUGGGUCCUGACCCUUGAUUCUUAGUCCAGUGGGGUUUGGACGUUCAUCCAGGAGGGGCACGGAUUUCACAUACGUAUGAGGCUUUAGGCCCCUAGGCUGUGCCUCAUCUGUUCCCUUUUGGGGAUGACUUUUCCCCAGGGGGUUUGGUAUCAGGGAGAGAAUGAUCUUAUGCGCCACCCUCCACCGGGGAAGUCUGGGCAGCAGAACCUUGCUCUCCUCGCCCUGGGCUGGUCACAGAAGGGGAUGUGACCUAAUCCUGGUUUGAAGGCCCUCCUCAGGGGUGGCAUCUACAAUGAGUAAAGCAGGAAGAAGGGUCGGCGGAUCCAGCUGACACAUGGGACAGACGGCCCCCUCCGCCAAGCCAGGCUGUACUUCCUGCUUUCCCAGCACCCCUGGAGCAGUCCUGGCCCCCCACAGCCCCUGACUCCUGAGCCCCUCGUCGUCCCCAUCCACUGCAUUCUUUCAUUUGAGCUAGCUCGAGUCUCUUUCUUGCCAUGAUGAAGUCCUGAUACCACCAGGGUGGACGCUGCCUAGCUUCCGGUGAGCUACCUUAAAACUCCAAGGAGUCCCUGAUGGCAGCCAGGGUGUUUGUGUCAGUGGAGAAAGGGACGAGGGGCUCUGGACUGAAAGCAAGCCAAACGGCGUGCUCCUUCUGGAGCGGGGAGUCACUGCUAGUGCCUGUAAGUGUCUCUUUUGGGCAAGGCUCUGUGUGCGCGCGCGUGUGUGUGUGUGUGUGUGUGUGUGUGUAAGAGUGUUUCUUUCUUACUAGUCAAUUAAUAGGCUGUGGUUUCUUUUGUUGUUGUUGCUCCUCUGAAAGGGUGAAUAUUUGAUGCCUGGAGGAUACUGCUCCUGAGAGACACCUGCUGCUCCAAAGCGCCCCGUGGCCAGCAGCUCUGGAUUGGCCGCAAAGGACGUGGCCUUUCUGUUUUGCCUGAGGAAUGUCUCCAGCUGCCAUCCUGUUGGCACCCCAAGGCUCACCGUCACCCUCGUCGUAGGGAUCGCAGGGGCGCCUCCACGGCCGAGGAGAGGGCCCCCCACUCGGGAACACCGUGUCCCACAAGGUGAGGAAUGAGGCUCCGGGACAGUCAGUGGCCUGCAGAGCCCGGUGGUUCAUCCUAUUAUGUUCCUGAUGAUCUGUGAUGAGAUUAUAACCCACAUAUGUUUCUCUCCAUCUUUUUUUUUUUUUUUUAAGAUUUUAUUUAUUUAUUCAUGAGAGACACACAGAGAGAGGCAGAGACAUAGGCAGAGGGAGAAGCAGGCCCCCUGGGGGAGCCCUAUGUGGGGGGGGGGGACUCGAUCCCAGGACCCUGAGAUCAUGCCCUGAGGCGAAGGUAGCUUCACUGAGCCCCGAGUGCCCCUCUAUCGUUCUUAUUUAAAAAAAAAAAAAAAAAAA
This 4414-nucleotide long non-coding RNA is filed under the name Canis lupus familiaris (dog). RNAcentral's name for it is "lncRNA (ENSCAFG00000053010.1)". The record is from RNAcentral. Lineage: Eukaryota; Metazoa; Chordata; Mammalia; Carnivora; Canidae.